GCCUCUGUAGCUCAGUCGGUAGAGCACAGCCAUGGUAAGGCUGGGGUCAUCGGUUCAAGUCCGAUCGGAGGCU
Molecule: non-coding RNA, 73 nt
Organism: Spirochaeta sp.
Lineage: Bacteria; Pseudomonadati; Spirochaetota; Spirochaetia; Spirochaetales; Spirochaetaceae
Source: Rfam